UACGUAGGUUGCGAGCGUUAAUCGGAAUUACUGGGCGUAAAGCGUGCGCAGGCGGAUUGGUAAGACAGAGGUGAAAUCCCCGGGCACAACCUGGGAACUGCCUUUGUGACUGCAUGACUAGAGUACGGCAGAGGGGGAUGGAAUUCCGCGUGUAGCAGUGAAAUGCGUAGAUAUGCGGAGGAACACCGAUGGCGAAGGCAAUCCCCUGGGCCUGUACUGACGCUCAUGCACGAAAGCGUGGGGAGCAAACAGG
This 253-nucleotide ribosomal RNA is filed under the name uncultured bacterium. RNAcentral describes it as "partial 16S ribosomal RNA". It matches the Rfam family "Bacterial small subunit ribosomal RNA", at positions 524 to 776 of the family's 1533-position model. The record is from RNAcentral.